GAUGAACGCUGGCGGCGUGCCUAAUACAUGCAAGUCGAGCGAACGGACGAGAAGCUUGCUUCUCUGAUGUUAGCGGCGGACGGGUGAGUAACACGUGGAUAACCUACCUAUAAGACUGGGAUAACUUCGGGAAACCGGAGCUAAUACCGGAUGAUAUUUUGAACCGCAUGGUUCAAAAGUGAAAGACGGUCUUGCUGUCACUUAUAGAUGGAUCCGCGCUGCAUUAGCUAGUUGGUAAGGUAACGGCUUACCAAGGCAACGAUGCAUAGCCGAACUGAGAGGGGGAUCGGCCACACUGGAACUGGGACGCGGUCCAGACUCCUACGGGAGGCAGCAGUAGGGAAUCUUCCGCAGUGGGCGAAAGCCUGGCGGAGCAGCGCCGCGUGAGUUAUGAAGGUCUUCGGAUCGUAAAACUCUGUUAUUAGGGAAGAACAUAUGUGUAAGUAACUGUGCACAGCUUGACGGUACCUAAUCAGAAAGCCACGGCUAACUACGUG
This 497-nucleotide ribosomal RNA is filed under the name uncultured bacterium. RNAcentral describes it as "partial 16S ribosomal RNA". It matches the Rfam family "Bacterial small subunit ribosomal RNA", at positions 28 to 507 of the family's 1533-position model. The record is from RNAcentral.